Molecule: transfer RNA, 61 nt
Filed under: Urocitellus parryii (Arctic ground squirrel)
Lineage: Eukaryota; Metazoa; Chordata; Mammalia; Rodentia; Sciuridae
Also listed under: 2 other names
Description: Spermophilus parryii (Arctic ground squirrel) tRNA
Rfam family: tRNA
About the family: Transfer RNA (tRNA) molecules are approximately 80 nucleotides in length. Their secondary structure includes four short double-helical elements and three loops (D, anti-codon, and T loops).
Source: Rfam by way of RNAcentral
UGUGGCUCAAUGGUAGAGCGCUUGCCUAGUAUGCAUGAGGCACUGGGUUUGACCCCUGGCA